Long non-coding RNA from Fukomys damarensis (Damara mole-rat), 251 nucleotides. RefSeq lists it as uncharacterized. The transcript is spliced from 3 exons. The record is from RefSeq and is a predicted model, not a curated record. NCBI's taxonomy places the organism in Eukaryota, Metazoa, Chordata, Mammalia, Rodentia, Bathyergidae.
AAAAAAACUAAGGCCAAAAGGAACUUUAUCACCAAAAUGUCUAAAGGUGCAGCAGGUGUCACCUAGUCCACCUCCUCAGGGACCAAGGGCCACCAAGUCCACUCCACGCUCCACGGCCACAUCUAGAGCCACAUCUGCCACAUAGUGGGAACGAAGCACAACGGAAACCAAGGGACAAGACACUGUCUGGAGCCCAGCCAAUUCUGAACUUCACUACUCCCUACUGCUCGUUCAUGACAAGACCAGCAACA